This 718-nucleotide ribosomal RNA is filed under the name uncultured Pseudomonadota bacterium. RNAcentral's name for it is "bacterial SSU rRNA". It matches the Rfam family "Bacterial small subunit ribosomal RNA", at positions 69 to 776 of the family's 1533-position model. Lineage: Bacteria; Pseudomonadati; Pseudomonadota. The record is from RNAcentral.
GUAACAGGAAACAGCUUGCUGUUUCGCUGACGAGUGGCGGACGGGCGAGUAAUGUCUGGGAAACUGCCUGAUGGAGGGGGAUAACUACUGGAAACGGUAGCUAAUACCGCAUAACGUCGCAAGACCAAAGAGGGGGACCCUCGGGCCUCUUGCCAUCGGAUGUGCCCAGAUGGGAUUAGCUUGUUGGUGGGGUAACGGCUCACCGAGGCGACGAUCCCUAGCUGGUCUGAGAGGAUGACCAGCCACACUGGAACUGAGACACGGUCCAGACUCCUACGGGAGGCAGCAGUGGGGAAUAUUGCACAAUGGGCGCAAGCCUGAUGCAGCCAUGCCGCGUGUAUGAAGAAGGCCUUCGGGUUGUAAAGUACUUUCAGCGGGGAGGAAGGGAGUAAAGUUAAUACCUUUGCUCAUUGACGUUACCCGCAGAAGAAGCACCGGCUAACUCCGUGCCAGCAGCCGCGGUAAUACGGAGGGUGCAAGCGUUAAUCGGAAUUACUGGGCGUAAAGCGCACGCAGGCGGUUUGUUAAGUCAGAUGUGAAAUCCCCGGGCUCAACCUGGGAACUGCAUCUGAUACUGGCAAGCUUGAGUCUCGUAGAGGGGGGUAGAAUUCCAGGUGUAGCGGUGAAAUGCGUAGAGAUCUGGAGGAAUACCGGUGGCGAAGGCGGCCCCCUGGACGGAGACUGACGCUCAGGUGCGAAAGCGUGGGGAGCAAACAGG